AGUGAAUAGAUACCCGGGUAGUCCACGCUGUAAACGAUGAACACUAGGCUUAGUGGGUAUUGACCCCGCUGAGCCGGAGCUAAACGCGAUAAGUGUUCCGCCUGGGAAGUACGGUCGCAAGACUAAAACUCAAAGGAAUUGACGGGGGCCCGGCACAAGCGGUGGAUCAUGUGGUUUAAAAUUCGAAGCAACGCGAAAAACCUUAACCUAGGUUUGUACAUCUCCGGCUACCUGCAGAAAUGUAGGGUUCGUAGCAAUACGACCGGAAGACAGGUGCUGCAUGGCUGUCGUCAGCUCGUGUGGUGACAUGUUGGGUUAAGUCCCGCAACGAGCGCAACCCCUGCUUCUAGUUGCCAGCAUUCAGUUGGGCACUCUAGAGGGACUGCCGUGGUUAACACGGAGGAAGGUGGGGAUGACGUCAAGUCCUCAUGGCCUUUAUAUCUAGGGCGACACACGUGAUACAAUGGACGGUACAGAGGGUAAGCCAAAGCGCGAGCUGGAGCCAAUCUCAAAAACGCCGUUCUCAGUUCGGAUUGGAGUCUGC
RNAcentral lists this ribosomal RNA (544 nucleotides) under uncultured bacterium. RNAcentral's name for it is "bacterial SSU rRNA". It matches the Rfam family "Bacterial small subunit ribosomal RNA", at positions 774 to 1308 of the family's 1533-position model. The record is from RNAcentral.